AUGAAUGGAUCAAUGAGAUUCCCACUGUCCCUAUCUGCUACCUAGCGAACACACAGCCAAGGGAACAGGCUUGGAAUAAUCAGCGGGGAAAGAAGACCCUUUUGAGCUUGACUCUAGUCCGACUUUGUGAAAUGACUUACGAGGUAUAGCCUAAGUGGGAGCUCACGCGAACCUGUAAAACCACUACUCGUUUUGCCAUUUUACUUAUUCCGUGAAAUAGUGACCACUUUCCGGUGGUUCUAGUAUUAAGGUUAGGCGCAAGCUCGACUGAACUAAGCGGAAGACAUGGUCAGGUGGGGAGUUUGGCUGGGGCGGCACAUCUGUUAAACUAUAACGCAGGUGUCCUACGGUGAGCUCAGAGAGAACAGAAAUCUCUCGUAGACCAAAAAGGGGAAAAGGCUCACUUGAUUUUGAUUUUCAGUAUGAAUACAAAACUGUGAAAGCAUGGCCUAUCGAUCC
Molecule: ribosomal RNA, 459 nt
Filed under: uncultured eukaryote
Lineage: Eukaryota
Description: eukaryotic LSU rRNA
Rfam family: Eukaryotic large subunit ribosomal RNA
Source: RNAcentral